GAUGAACGCUGGCGGCGUGCCUAAUACAUGCAAGUCGAGCGAACAGAUGAGGAGCUUGCUCCUCUGACGUUAGCGGCGGACGGGUGAGUAACACGUGGGUAACCUACCUAUAAGACUGGGAUAACUUCGGGAAACCGGAGCUAAUACCGGAUAACAUUUUGAACCGCAUGGUUCUAUAGUGAAAGAUGGUUUUGCUAUCACUUAUAGAUGGACCCGCGCCGCAUUAGCUAGUUGGUAAGGUAACGGCUUACCAAGGCAACGAUGCGUAGCCGACCUGAGAGGGUGAUCGGCCACACUGGAACUGAGACACGGUCCAGACUCCUACGGGAGGCAGCAGUAGGGAAUCUUCCGCAAUGGGCGAAAGCCUGACGGAGCAACGCCGCGUGAGUGAUGAAGGUCUUCGGAUCGUAAAACUCUGUUAUUAGGGAAGAACAAAUGUGUAAGUAACUAUGCACGUCUUGACGGUACCUAAUCAGAAAGCCACGGCUAACUACGUG
This 497-nucleotide ribosomal RNA is filed under the name uncultured bacterium. RNAcentral describes it as "partial 16S ribosomal RNA". It matches the Rfam family "Bacterial small subunit ribosomal RNA", at positions 28 to 507 of the family's 1533-position model. The record is from RNAcentral.